Long non-coding RNA from Sapajus apella (tufted capuchin), 454 nucleotides. RefSeq lists it as uncharacterized. Lineage: Eukaryota; Metazoa; Chordata; Mammalia; Primates; Cebidae. The record is from RefSeq and is a predicted model, not a curated record. The transcript has 2 exons.
AGCCAAUAGUAAGCAUCAGCCUCUGUUAUUUGCCAGAAUGAAUUUUCAAGUGAUUCUAACAUUGUCUUCAAAUUGCCUUGUCUGAUGCCGAGUGAAGCAGAAAUGAACUCUCUCUGAAAAACCCUGGCUAAGCUGCAGAUUUGAUGAAGACAGAAUGAUGUUUGACAAAUUGGUGAAGUGCUGUUUUUGAAGACCUAAGAUUUUGACUGGAAUUGCCAGAAUACUUCGUUACAUAUUUAAGUCUAGACAAGAAGCAUUAGGAUAGGGAUUCCAUCCAUCCUGAAGCAGGAGAACCCAACAGUAAAGUUAUAGGGACCAUACAGCUUGAAACAUCUCUGACCGCUUAAUGAUACCAGAUGCUCUGCUGAAAAACUUUUGAAAGUGUUCUUUAAACCUCUUGAGAUAUUUUUGAUUUCUGCUAUGGGCAUUCCUUGGAAUAGAAAUCUUAGACUAC